This 253-nucleotide ribosomal RNA is filed under the name uncultured bacterium. Its description in RNAcentral is "partial 16S ribosomal RNA". It matches the Rfam family "Bacterial small subunit ribosomal RNA", at positions 524 to 776 of the family's 1533-position model. The record is from RNAcentral.
UACGUAGGGUGCGAGCGUUAAUCGGACUUACUGGGCGUAAAGCGUGCGCAGGCGGUUUUGUAAGCCAGGGGUGAAAUCCCCGGGCUCAACCUGGGAAUGGCAUUUGGGACUGCAAGGCUGGAGUGCGGCAGAGGAGACUGGAAUUCCUGGUGUAGCAGUGAAAUGCGUAGAUAUCAGGAGGAACACCGAUGGCGAAGGCAGGUCUCUGGGCUGACACUGACGCUCAUGCACGAAAGCGUGGGGAGCAAACAGG